Molecule: long non-coding RNA, 1179 nt
Organism: Brassica napus (rape)
Lineage: Eukaryota; Viridiplantae; Streptophyta; Magnoliopsida; Brassicales; Brassicaceae
Exons: 2
Source: RefSeq, a predicted model, not a curated record
AAUUACAGAAAAUUGGUUUUUAACAGUAAAUUAUUCCAUGUAUGCUUACAAAUGCAUCAUAACCUGCCCAUAUGGAUUAUGACCGUACGAAUUCUCUAAAUUUUUGCAAACAAUUUUUUCCUUUUUCUUAUAACACUAACUCACGUUCAUUUCUUAAUAUAGUGUUUUAAAGAUCAUUUGCUUAUCUAUACCAUUUGUUUAUAAUCGUAUAAUCACUUGGUUUUCAUGUAUGCUUGGCUAUAUGAAAUGUGUUGUUAUAAGCUAUUCCAUAUUCUGACGCCAUAAACAAAUGGUCGCCAUAAAUUGAACCAAUUUUCUGACUCAAAAAUGUAUAUAUGUGUAGAUUAUUAGGUCAUACUACUUUACAAAUAAGUCCACCGAUUGGAAUCCCCUUAUUAUAAUAUAAAUAAAUAUAUUGAAAGGUGGAAAUUCACGGGAUCACACUCUGAAAACUCAUAAAGCACAUUCAAUAUAAAGUUUACAUAAUACAUUAUAUUGGGUAUUUCGACUAGUCAAUCACGCAAUUAGAAUAGGAAUAUUUUGCUAUGCAAAUGCAAAUCUUUAACUAAGAUUUGGAAUUUUUCCUGAUAAUAAAUACAAUAUUACCUUAUAUCAAGUGUGAGUUAAGGAAUGUAUUUAAAACAGUUUUCAUUCGAAAUUUGAACAAUAUUCCCUACAAUCUUGGUCCAUCUAAAUUCAAUAUAUAGACAUUCCCUUACUAAUUAUUGCUUACUAAUUUGUCCAGACCUUGGUUCUGCUUCUACUAUAUAAACACCCCUCCCGUCGUUUGUUUUCCCCUCAAAUCAAGCGACGAGUCUUCGUAUAUAUACGAUUACAAACUUCUGUUUACAUAUGGCUCCUUUAGUUAUUCUUUUGUUUACACUUUAUUACAGGUUCAUAUAAAAAGCGUGUUGUUUAUGGAACUAUUGCUCAAGAGUUACAAGAUUUCUGAACAUCUACUGAUACUCCUAUAAUUACUAUGUGUAAUAAGGUUUUGGCAAAUAGGUUCAGAAGAAGGAUUCCAAGCCAAGCAUAUUGAAGACAACAAUCCAUAGAAACUUCUUCUCAUGAGAUGAGCGGGUUUACUUAUCUUUUCGCUUUCACAUUUUAUAAUUUUUAUGAUGUUUAGUUGUGUAUUAAACUCAUACAUUAUAUUAUCUCAGUCUAUGCUUAAUUUUA